Molecule: ribosomal RNA, 496 nt
Filed under: uncultured bacterium
Lineage: Bacteria
Description: partial 16S ribosomal RNA
Rfam family: Bacterial small subunit ribosomal RNA
Source: RNAcentral
GAUGAACGCUGGCGGCGUGCCUAAUACAUGCAAGUCGAGCGAACAGACGAGGAGCUUGCUCCUCUGACGUUAGCGGCGGACGGGUGAGUAACACGUGGAUAACCUACCUAUAAGACUGGGAUAACUUCGGGAAACCGGAGCUAAUACCGGAUAAUAUAUUGAACCGCAUGGUUCAAUAGUGAAAUACGGUUGUUCUGGCACUUAUCGAUGGAUCCGCGCCUCAUUAGCUAGUUGGUAAGGUAACGGCUUACCAAGGAAACGAUGCAUAGCCGACCGGAGAGGUGAUCGGCCACACUGGAACUGAGCCACGGUCCAGACUCCUACGGGAGGCAGCAGUAGGGAAUCUUCCGCAAUGGGCGAAAGCUUGACGGAGCAACGCCGCGUGAGUGAUGAAGGUCUUCGGAUCGUAAAACUCUGUUAUUAGGGAAGAACAAAUGUGUAAGUAACUAUGCACGUCUUGACGGUACCUAAUCAGAAAGCCACGGCUAACUACGUG